RNAcentral lists this ribosomal RNA (429 nucleotides) under uncultured bacterium. RNAcentral's name for it is "partial 16S ribosomal RNA". It matches the Rfam family "Bacterial small subunit ribosomal RNA", at positions 355 to 776 of the family's 1533-position model. The record is from RNAcentral. RNAcentral also lists the same sequence under 1 other name.
UGGGGAAUUUUGGACAAUGGACGCAAGUCUGAUCCAGCCAUGCCGCGUGCGGGAAGAAGGCCUUCGGGUUGUAAACCGCUUUUGUCAGGGAAGAAACGAGUUUCUCUAAUACAGAGACUUAAUGACGGUACCUGAAGAAUAAGCACCGGCUAACUACGUGCCAGCAGCCGCGGUAAUACGUAGGGUGCAAGCGUUAAUCGGAAUUACUGGGCGUAAAGCGUGCGCAGGCGGUUAUGCAAGACAGAGGUGAAAUCCCCGGGCUCAACCUGGGAACUGCCUUUGUGACUGCAUAGCUAGAGUACGGCAGAGGGGGAUGGAAUUCCGCGUGUAGCAGUGAAAUGCGUAGAUAUGCGGAGGAACACCGAUGGCGAAGGCAAUCCCCUGGGCCUGUACUGACGCUCAUGCACGAAAGCGUGGGGAGCAAACAGG